UGGGCAAUCUGCCCCUAGCUCUGGGAUAACUCCGGGAAACCGGGGCUAAUACCGGAUACGACCUCGAGCGGCAUCACUUGAGGUGGAAAGUUUUUCGGCUAGGGAUGAGCCCGCGGCCUAUCAGCUUGUUGGUGAGGUAACAGCCCACCAAGGCGACGACGGGUAGCCGGCCUGAGAGGGCGACCGGCCACACUGGGACUGAGACACGGCCCAGACUCCGUGCGGGAGGCA
This 231-nucleotide ribosomal RNA is filed under the name uncultured bacterium. RNAcentral describes it as "partial 16S ribosomal RNA". It matches the Rfam family "Bacterial small subunit ribosomal RNA", at positions 118 to 350 of the family's 1533-position model. The record is from RNAcentral.